UAGGGAAUCUUCCGCAAUGGACGAAAGUCUGACGGAGCAACGCCGCGUGAGUGAUGAAGGUUUUCGGAUCGUAAAACUCUGUUGUUAGGGAAGAACAAGUACCGUUCGAAUAGGGCGGUACCUUGACGGUACCUAACCAGAAAGCCACGGCUAACUACGUGCCAGCAGCCGCGGUAAUACGUAGGUGGCAAGCGUUGUCCGGAAUUAUUGGGCGUAAAGCGCGCGCAGGCGGUUUCUUAAGUCUGAUGUGAAAGCCCCCGGCUCAACCGGGGAGGGUCAUUGGAAACUGGGGAACUUGAGUGCAGAAGAGGAGAGUGGAAUUCCACGUGUAGCGGUGAAAUGCGUAGAGAUGUGGAGGAACACCAGUGGCGAAGGCGACUCUCUGGUCUGUAACUGACGCUGAGGCGCGAAAGCGUGGGGAGCGAACA
This 428-nucleotide ribosomal RNA is filed under the name uncultured bacterium. Its description in RNAcentral is "partial 16S ribosomal RNA". It matches the Rfam family "Bacterial small subunit ribosomal RNA", at positions 355 to 774 of the family's 1533-position model. RNAcentral also lists the same sequence under 2 other names. The record is from RNAcentral.